Non-coding RNA from Lolium perenne, 9091 nucleotides. NCBI's taxonomy places the organism in Eukaryota, Viridiplantae, Streptophyta, Magnoliopsida, Poales, Poaceae. The record is from RefSeq and is a predicted model, not a curated record.
UCCAACCUCUUUCUCUUUCUCUCUUCACCCACGCGACCACCAUUUCCUUCUCCUAUUGCGCCUGCGAUGCCGCCGCCGCCGCUGCACGCCUGCCGUCGCCGUGCCGGCCAAUACUGGCCGCAACCGCCACACAAUGAGCAAGCCACGCGGGGACGGAGCACGCCAUGCCCACUUCCCCGACCACGGCCUCGCGAUGGACACGCCGCGGCGGCCGCGCCCUCUUCGCCGAACCCUAGCUUCUCCCCGAGCGGGGCGGCGGCGGCAGGUAGAGGGAGAAGGCGACCUUCGCGGCCGACCGAUGUUCGAGCGGUUGCUGGAGGACCACGUGCUCCACCGCCUCCUCCACCACCUACAUGCAAAGCUCGAGGACCACUACGCCACCGCGCACCGCCGCGCUCGGGCUCCGCCUCAUGGGGCGCGGGAUGCGGGCUUCAUGCUCUUCGGCCAGGAGCUCGCGGCCGUGCUGCUCGGCUGCGCACUCUUCUUCCUGUUCCCCACCUCCGGCCGCCGCGAGGCCUUUUGAGACAUUGUUCACGGCCCUGAAUUACAACUCGAGGCAAAUCCAGGAGCACGAUGUGAGGUUCCUUUUGAGCGGAAGCCUGUCCCCGUUAGCAUUACCUUUCCUGACAUUGAUGUUUGGAAGAAAUCUAUAGCGUCUGUUUGCCCCAUUCCGGAUAAGUGACUUCAUAUUUUCCAUUGUAGCCCUCUUGCACGGUUCUUCUAGAAUUAAAGUUGAGUCAAUAUGUGUUCGUCAAAUCAAAGCUGAACUUGUUAAUUAGCAAUGUUUCAUUCCAGAUGCCUACUGUCACUUGUACGAAUUCCAAACUGUGUAAAGAUGCGCAGAAUGAGUUAGUACGGGCUUGUUGAUGAAUUAGAGAUUCACCAUUUAUUUUUGUUAAGUAUCUGUCAUGUGUAUACCAUCCUAUAGGUACACUAUUAUCUUAAUAUGAAAGAAUAAUCUUAGACACAGAGAUUUGUUAGUAUUUUUCUACUUAGUGCUAUAUUGCUUACGGUCAAGUAAGUCCAUACAUAUAUGGGGAAUUUAUUAUCUAUUUAUUGAUAUGGCAAUGAACGAUUGGAUUGGUUUAUCAACUCUAUUCAUCCCUGGCUCCUCACGUAGGACUCUUAUCUGUAUUGUUAGGCACAACUAGAUAUAUAGUACAGUGUCAUGUUUCUGACUUGUAUCAAAGUGUAAGAUAAACAUGAAUAAAUUGGUAGUGCUCUGUUAGGAUGUUGAGCACAAUUUGGCAUGUACAUCUCAUGAACCUGGCAGCAUAUUAUUGAAUUAAUUAGGGUCCCAGUUGCCGAGGUUGCAUAUAUUGGAAUUUGGAACAUGGUGACAUGAGAUAUUUCAGAAUCACUAGCAUAACGGGCAAACGCAAUGUCUAAUCAUGUUUGAGUUUGAUGUAGAAGUGUUCAACUUUUAAGAGUUGAUUUGGCCACUAAAAGGAAACUGCACUUCAACUUUACGGACAAAUAUGCAAUAUUUCUGUUUUUAAAGGAUCGAUGUAAAUAGUUUUUGCUCUUUGAAAAAUAAUACACAACACAUAUUCUUCAUAUGUAUUCUGUAUUUAUCAUUGUUUUCGUUUGUACUAAUAAGGCUGUCUUUAUUGGUGUCCUGCAGUUAUUGACUUGCAGCUUACAGAACCAGAAUUGGACAACAUAAAUGGAGAAAUGUGAGAAAGGAGCUGUGGGAAGACCCUAGAGAUGUGAAGUGAAAGAAGAGGAACAUUAGUAAAUCUCAAGGCAGAGCUAGCAAGGCAGCGGCAGCGGAGGCGCGGCGUUCUCUCAGGGAGGUGGUGGCGGAGGCGGCUCGUUCUCUCAGGGCGGUGGUGGCGGUGGUGCGACGUUCUCUCAGGGCGGAGCUGGCGGAGGCGCGGCGUUCUCUCAGCGAGGUGGAGGCGCAGGCGCAGCGUUCUCUCAGGGCGGUGGUGGCGGAGGCGCGGCGUUCUCCCAGGGCGGUGGCAGCUUGUCGCUCUUGCAUUCGCAGUCGCAGAUCUCCCAGGCCUCCCUCGACGAGAACCUCCUCAGCCCUCGCCAUCCUCCCCCGCGCGCGAUCAGACUUUGAAGAGGAGUACUACGAAGAAGAGGAGUACGACGCCGAAGACGUGAACUAGGUCGCUCUCCCAGUCAGCCGCCUGUAGGGUAAAGGCCUGACGUGGGUUCCACCGCUGUUUGAAGUCAAAUAAAUUCCGCUGCUGUUUGUUGAACUUCGGCCUUGAUGGCCUAUGAUGUAAGACUUCCGUAUUAAUGUUACUUCGGUACUGUAAUGGAUGAUGUAAUCUGGUAUCAGUUCGGUUAUGUAUUCACGAUGGAAUGAUCUUGGGAUCGUGAAAUUGUACGCAUAACAAGAGUUCUGGACUGGUAAGUCCGGGGCCCCACAGAGCUGGUAUCAGAGCCAUCCUGACUGUAGGAGACCUUAGUUAGCAUGGACGUUAGUUAGGAAACAAGUAUUUUGGGAAAACCUAUUUACACAACAAAUUCUUUCUUUGGUAGACGAAAGAAUAUCUUCUAAUUUUAUUAUCCCUUCAAAACUUCUAUUUCUUACCUCGCUCUAUGAUUUCCAAAGAUCUUGAAAGAUUUUAUUCUACUAUCUCACCCUCUUCCAAACAAACAUAAUGGACGAUAUCCCCAACUCAGACUCGGAGACUCGAAGUCGAAGAUGGAUCAACCCUUCAGGAAGUUUCAAGUAUCUCCGACUGCAACUGUUGAAGAUUGGCUACCGACUUCGUAGUAAGUGUAUAGGGAUAAUAAGAUCAUGUCUCUGGUUGUCACCAAAGUAUGUCAAGGAGUUGACCUUGUUCCUCUUUGGACUUGCACUUUUGCAGUCAUCAAGGACCAAGUCCUCAGUUCUUGACUAGUAAUUUUUAGGCCCGUCACAAGAAGCUGUCAUCUAUGGAGCUCUUCAGAAAAUAACCUUCCAAAGGCCUCACAUCCCUAGGAUGUUGAGACCAGAAGUCCUAUGCAGUUUUCGCCUCCGCCUCAACAUCGACGACUCAACAUCAGGUCUACUUCACCACCAACUGCUACAAGAAUCAAUGUUGAAGUCAAUAUCAGCAAAAUGAAGACAUCAGCAUCUCUGACCAACCCAAGCCUAUAGGAUUGAUAGGAUAAACUCAAUUGUCUUGAUUGAGCUACCCCUGCGUAUUAGGUAUCCUUAGGUACUUGAAAUACCUCGUGUGGUUUUCAUGAUUUCUUGUGUUUUUCUAAAUUUGCUGCUUGAGUGCUUGUGAUUCCUUGUUGUGUGUAUGCUUGCUCUAGUCUUUCGGCCUGAAAAACUUUUUUUUGUGUUUGUUAACCCAGUCUAGGAAACCCCCCUAAGCUAUUUUUCUUCGCAUCCGCUCGAGUUUCUGGUAGGGAUUUCAACUAUAGUUGGCGAAGUAAAUGGAAAACCCUAACUCUAACUUGGGUAACCGCCAGAUGCAACCCUGUUUUCCCGAAAUGCCAACUCCAACACUUUAUUCAACUCAAGACAAUUUGUGAUGCCCACGAAGCAGAAGUCGGUGCCUUCAAGAUCGACUGCAACCCCACGAGAAGAUGAAGCCAUACUAAUUUUGUCUAACCGUAGAGCAUAAUCAUGUUAACCUUGAGGUUAUCUUCUUAAAACCUCAACCUAACUCACCUUCUAACAAGCUAAGUGAGUUGUACCACCGAAGCCAAGUUACUCUGCAAGGUCCAAGUGAAGCCUUUGAAGACAAUUCAAGACUCGAGAUUUGGUGUACUUUAGUGAACACCAACCCUAAAGCUGAAGACUGUUUCGACGACUGUUGUUGCUGCUUCAUGUGAAGAUCCACCAGAUGUUCUGCUGACUUACUAACUUAACGAGCGCCUUAUGGAACAAUAAACGCCGUGCGUGCCUCUUGCAGCUGAGGACUGCAUUUCGCCCCUGAAGAUUCUUCAACUCAAGACUGGAGAUCGACGACUUCUUCAAAAGCACCCGACAAGGCCCCUUGACUGAAGCUCUGAGUUUUCCUGAACCCUCGUUGAACAAUCUUAAGGGUGGAAGCUUUUAAAGCUAACUCUAAAAGCUUUCGACCUUUCUAAAAAAAAGCACCGUUUGGAUGCUUUAACCAUCCAAGAGUCAUGGACCCCUCGAAGGUUGAAGCUACAGAUCUAACACCAGCAUAGAGAAGUGAACCUCUUCACGAAACCGUCCCUCGGCAGAAAUCCAUUGUGCCUCUCAGAAGCUGAAGCAGUGGUCUUCCGACAACGACACGUCUACCAGAGGAUGGAGUCUAACUUAAAGUAACCUAUAAAGCCUCUAUAGUCCUACACCUAGUAAUCUCGAGACGAGAUUAUUUUAAGGGUGGAAGGUCUGUAACACCCCAACUUUUGCAACCAUGUUUAUGUGUCCAGAGUGCAAAAAUCAGGGGGAACAAAAACUUUUUAUGUUCUGCAUGCACUGAUUUGUUUUUGAUUGGGAAUGACUGUCUGACUUUGUUUGAUGAGUGGUGUUUGCUAAAUAGUGUUAAGUGGAAUAUUUCAACCCAUAACUCCAAGUCUCAAGAAAAACACUCAUGCUAUGGCCACUCUUGUAUUACCUCCUCCUCUCUUCUAAGGUAUUUGAACUUUUUGACAAAAUACAAAACCUGUUUUGUUAUGCUCUAUGACUCUAAAUUUUGAUCCAACAUAUUUUUGCCAAGAACCUUUUCUUUUAAAAUUGGCUAAGGUCACCUCUGAUCUUAGUAUAAAAAAGAGGUUUCUAAAAUUAUUUUUGAUACAAAGUAAUUGCCAAAAGGUUUACCUUACUUUGGGUGACAUUAAAAUUUACAAAAGCUUUUAUAUGCAGAUUUUGGUAUCCUAAAAAAAUGGAAUGAUCUAUAUUUUAUUCUACUUUAACUAUGGGUCAUUCUACUCCCUCUAAAACCCUCUCUCUUUUCGAAUCUUUUCAAAAUAAGAUUUCAUAUCUAGUUUAAUAAAUCUAAUAAAGGCCAUAGACAAUAAAGCUAAAUUUUAGGACUAAUUGAUCCAUAAUCAAUUAUCCAUGGCAAUGUAUUUGCCACUAAUACAUGUCAUUGAUAUAUCAUAUCAUCACUCCAUCUAUGUUUGAUCUUGGUAACAGAUCGUUUGUUCAACAAAUGAUUAAUCCCCAUUGGCAUCUUUAUCUCUCCAAGAUCAUCCAACUCUACUCAAGAAUCAUUCUUGGCCUAACCAUAUCAUGUCCUAAUCACCUUCUCUAUAUCAUCUUGUCUUGAUCCCACUCUUAGAACAUUGCCCUUAAAGUAAACCCAAUGCCCUAUGGCCACAAAUCAAGCUUUUCAAAAAAUGGAGUUUCCCUCCCAAUUUCCCCCCAACAUAUAUCCCAAAAAAAACCUUUCUUCUUCCUUUUAAUUACAAAACCGAUUCUAAUUUUAUAAAAUCUUUCCAAAAUCUUUUCCCCAUUAAAACUAGGAAAUGGGACUGAUAUGUUAUCACCUCAUUUUAUUUUCUAAAUUUUUUUAUUCUCUUUAUUUCUUUUUGUUUUAAUAAAAAAAUGGCAUGGUUCUGGUGCUUAUGCCUAUCAUGUUAUUUUUCGUGCUUAUUUCAAAUUUAAGAAAAACCCAUUUGCUUAGUUAGGCCAUUUGAAUGCUUUCAAACUCAAAAUUAUUAUCUAAUUACUCUCAAAUUUUUCUCUAUCUACUUCAAAUGAGUUUCUCCAAAUUUGCCAUGGGUAUAGAGAGUGAUCCAAACAAAUUAGAAGUGAAUUCAAAUUUGAAUGACAAACCCGUGACCUCAAAUACACCUCCUUCAUCCAUUUCCCAUCGUCAUCUCCUUGGCCAAACAAAAAUGUGUUCAAGUGCCAACUUAAUCAACGCACUUGCUAAUUACCUAUUUUUUUUCCAUCUCUUUUUCCUUAAUUUCCUUCUAGUCUCCACCACAACCUCCAAUUUAGAUAAUCAUCAUCAGCACCAUCUAUCUAAUCUACUUUCUAUGCCACCUAAGCAAUGCAAAUGGGAGAAGUGGCCGGCCAUGGUGAUCUUGCCAUGCAUCCUCCCUUGUCCCUCUUCCCUCUCUUUGGCCAAGCAAAUCACCACCCAUGCACAUGCAACUCUCUCUUAACCCACGCACCAGCAACCACCAGCCAUGCCGCAUGCUACAGUACUCGUUUUGGCAUGCACAAGAAAAGGUGGCCGGCCAAGCAAGGCAUCCAUGCACCGUACCUCUCUUCAUCUCUUUCUCUCUCUCUCUCUCAUUCUCUUUAUUUCCGAACCAACACCAAAACCACUCCGUUGAUUCUCCAACACCAGCACCUUGUCCUCGGCGACCUGUUUUGCCUCAACACCACCCCCUUGUCUUCAUGUGCUUGGCAAGAUUGGAGAGCCGGUGAUGCCAAAUCUUGGCAAGGCCAUGCCAAGAUUCUCACUCUCUCUAAUCUCGCUCCACCAGUGAGCCGCACCGAACCCUGCCUCCCUCCUGGACCCCUACCCCCUUGCUGUCCCCCUAGCCAGCACUAGUCGAGUCUCUCUCUCUUGCCAUGCACACGGGUGGCAUGCCCAAUUUCUUGAACAAGACCCUCUGGCCGAGCCAAGGCGCCGCCAGACUCGUUUCACCGUGGCUAGUCAUAGCCACGCACGCUUCCAUGCUUGUCUUCUUCCUGCUGGACGCGAACGACCCCGCUCUGGAUGCCGACCCUUCGUCGAACAGCUGGUGGGCGUGUGUUCGGUGUCGUCCCACCGAGCUGACCGACCUCCUCUUGCCCUGUCCUCUCGCCUUCGCUACCGCCUCAGUCCCGUGACCAUCCUGGCACAGCACCAUGUCCUCUCCUUGUCACUAUACCCCCGGACACGCUCGCCGCCCACGGCAGCCAAGCCUCAAGCUCCACGUAGCAGCAGCGCACGGCCUCGCCCUUGAAAACGCGAGCUCGAGUCUCCUUUCCUCUCGCACCGCUCCAUACCACUCCCCCAGGUAUCCCUUGUCCUCCAGAACAACCACAAAGGGCCACGCCCUUGUUGCCCUUCUUCCUCGCCGAGUUGGCCGGAAGCUCGUCCGUCCGCGCCACGUCGUGGAUGCCGUUUCUGCCGCCCCUCUCCGGCCUUCUCUCUGCUCUCUCUUUCUGUGUGUCCCUCUCUACCCCUCUUGACGCACAUCAACACCUUUUCUUGUCAGGACCUCAACUGGGACGUCAUGAGCACCAAGUCCGAUCGAGGCGAGGCGGUUCACCUCGUCCUCACCAACGCCGGUAGUCUGCAUGCGCAUGUUGUUCGGACGAGGAGAGUCGCCGACCGCCGCUACGCAGUCCUUCGACGCGAAUUCGCCUCCAGGUCCCCGGUGAGCUCGCCCUAUGCUCUGUGUCGUUACGGUUACUCGCGUCGCGUCGUCGUUCCCAGUCGCUCGACGCAGCCACGACUGCCGUGCAUCUCCGCUCUUGCUCUCCGUUCCUAUCGUCUCUGUGAUGUACCUACGACCUAAACACCGCCCUUUUCUUGCCAGGAAUCCACCAGGUCGAUCGUCGCUGUCGUUGAGCUCCGUCGUGCUGCCCCGACGCGGAGCCCGGCCUCGUCCGCGUCGCUGUGGAGCUCGCCUCCAACCUCGAUCUCCCCGUGCCGUUGCGGUGAGCCCCCGACCUCUCCUUGUCGCUCGCUCACGGUGGCGCUGCUGGUUUCUCGAGCGGCCGGUGAGCGCCCUGCCAUCAUCCCCAUCCACCUCCGUCGCAUGCACUGCAGCCUCGCGCGCGCUCGACGGCACCAAGACGAAUCUCCGCGUCCGUGUCGUCGCCUGGAGGUUGUGCCCGCCGCCACCUUGUUUCUCUCCCUCUCUCUGUUCCCCUCAUUACUCUCCAUCGGACCUCACCGGCCCAUUCUCCUUGCUCAGGUCACACCAGCUGGCGGCCGUCAUCGAAGCUAUGUCCGUGCCGCUCUGUCCCGGCGCCGCGCACGCUGCUGUCGGCGACGACGUCUCCAUCACGUCUGAGACGCUCAGAUGGGCCAGCCUAGUCCACCUCGCCAUCCUCUCACAGUCCCAGUCGAGCGUCGGCCGUCGCAGCUAGCUGAUAACAGCCGUUGGAUCAAGAUCCUAGGGCCGCUUACCUCUUCGUCUUGUCCGACGCAAGUGGGCAGGCCAAGGUCGGUGCAGCCCAAGUAUUUUAGAUCUCAGCCAGAAAAGGUUUUUAACUUAUAAAUCUGCUAAAUAAACAUGGCAGAUCUGGGUUCGAAAUAAAUCCACCUUAUAUUCUGUGAUUCAGAAAAUUUUCGGAUUCAAAUUUUGUACUGUAUCCUAAGUAAAUUCCUACCACCUAGAGCAAGUCUCAUAUCCUGAUCCAGUACGAAAACCUCACAGUAAUAAAAACCUUGAAAGCUUGCAGUGGCAGUACCAAUCCAAUAUAAAACGUUUUAGACCACUUUUUCGAGCAAACUAAAUUUUGGUGGAGGCCUCUCUGUUUUUUUUUUACAUUUUGGCAUAUGUGGUGAUGCUCGUACUUGUUUAUUUCUUCAAGUGCAUCAUUUAGCAAAAUCUGUCCCAGUUUGACUCUGAUAUGUUACUGUGAGAAUAUAAUAUAUUAUUUUGGAGUGAAACCAAUUUUAUAAGAGCCAAUGCACCUUUUUGUCCAACUUAUCCAGAGCACAAAUGUUUACAAGUAUAUGUGAAUAUCCGAGGUUUUAAUGUCCAUAACAGAGGUUAAAAGCAGUAAAAGAGUUGUUAAAAUAUUUUAUAACUCCAAAAGUUAGUAAAUCCAAUUUUAGUGAUUUUUUUUUUAGCUAUCCAUUGGUGUGAACCUUGUUUGCAUAAGUGUUAUAUUGUUCCGUGAGCAAAAUAAGCAAGUUCAGUGGCUUUUGAACUCUUAAAAUUUAUUUAAAAUAAUUUGUUUUACUUUCGGGCACAAAACCACUUUUGGUGUUUAUAAUUGUUGUUAGCUACCAGUACAUAUAUGGUUUACUACUUGAUGUGGAACAUACAUGUUUUAACUAUUAAUUAGGUUCUAUUUGCUUAUCUAAUAAGGAUAAAAUGGCCUUUUCUUCGAAAUAAAAAUAUUUGCCUUAUGCACUAGGUACUGCAGGUUUAUUUUAUAGACAAAUUAGUCUCUGCUUGUGAUGAUUGUGUACUGAUGCUUGAUAGUGUGUUUUGUUUGAGUAUGGAUAGCUUGUGUGGUUGAUUGUUGCCUUUUUCUUUGCGA